Molecule: long non-coding RNA, 214 nt
Filed under: Mytilus galloprovincialis (Mediterranean mussel)
Lineage: Eukaryota; Metazoa; Mollusca; Bivalvia; Mytilida; Mytilidae
Source: RNAcentral
CCAAAUUCAGCUAAGGUAAUCUAUGCCUGAGGUAGAAAAGCAUUAGUAUUUCAAAAAUUCAAUAUUUUGUAAACAGUUAAUUUAUAAAUGUAACCAUAUCAAUGAUGAUUCAUGUCAGCACAAAAAGUGCUAGUAUUGUCUAUAUCCUGCUUUCUGUGAUGUAUAUGUAUAUGUUAACUUUUCACAGAAUUUACAGGUAUAGUAAAAAUCAUAU